RNAcentral lists this ribosomal RNA (465 nucleotides) under uncultured bacterium. RNAcentral describes it as "partial 16S ribosomal RNA". It matches the Rfam family "Bacterial small subunit ribosomal RNA", at positions 338 to 795 of the family's 1533-position model. The record is from RNAcentral.
CCUACGGGAGGCAGCAGUAGGGAAUCUUCCACAAUGGGCGAAAGCCUGAUGGAGCAACGCCGCGUGGGUGAAGAAGGUCUUCGGAUCGUAAAACCCUGUUGUUAGAGAAGCAAGUGCGUGAGAGUAACUGUUCACGUUUCGUCGGUAUCUAACCAGCAAGCCCUGGCUAACUACGUGCCAGCAGCCGCGGUAAUACGUAGGUGGCAAGCGUUAUCCGGAUUUUUUGGGCGUAAAGGGAACGCAGGCGGUCUUUUAAGUCUACUGUGAAAGCCUUCGGCUUAACCGGAGUAGUGCAUUGGAAACUGGGAGACUUGAGUGCAGAAGAGGAGAGUGGAACUCCAUGUGUAGCGGUGAAAUGCGUAGAUAUAUGGAAGAACACCAGUGGCGAAGGCGGCUCUCUGGUCUGUAACUGACGCUGAGGUUCGAAAGCGUGGGUAGCAAACAGGAUUAGAUACCCCUGUAGUC